This 497-nucleotide ribosomal RNA is filed under the name uncultured bacterium. RNAcentral describes it as "partial 16S ribosomal RNA". It matches the Rfam family "Bacterial small subunit ribosomal RNA", at positions 28 to 507 of the family's 1533-position model. The record is from RNAcentral.
GAUGAACGCUGGCGGCGUGCCUAAUACAUGCAAGUCGAGCGAACAGACGAGGAGCUUGCUCCUCUGACGUUAGCGGCGGAGGGGUGAGUAACAUGUGGAUAACCUACUUAUAAGACUGGGAUAACUUCGGGAAACCGGAGCUAAUACCGGAUAAUAUACUGAUCCGCAUGGUUCAUUAGUGAAAGACGGCUUUGCUGUCACUUAUAGAUGGAUCUGCGCCGCAUUAGCUAGUUGGUAAGGUAACGGCUUACCAAGGCAACGAUGCGUAGCCGACCUGAGAGGGUGAUCGGCCACACUGGAGCUGAGACACGGACCAGACUCCUACGGGAGGCGACAGUAGGGAAUCUUCGGCAGUGGGCGGGAGCCUGGCGGAGCGGCGCCGCGUGUGUGAUGGAGGUCUUCGGAUCGUGAAACUCUGUUAUUAGGGGAAAACAGAUGUGUAAGUAGCUAUGCCCGUCUUGACGGUACCUGGUCAGAAAGCCACGGCUAACUACGUG